This 253-nucleotide ribosomal RNA is filed under the name uncultured bacterium. RNAcentral describes it as "partial 16S ribosomal RNA". It matches the Rfam family "Bacterial small subunit ribosomal RNA", at positions 524 to 776 of the family's 1533-position model. The record is from RNAcentral.
UACGUAGGGGGCAAGCGUUGUCCGGAAUCAUUGGGCGUAAAGCGCGCGUAGGCGGCCCGGUAAGUCCGUUGUGAAAGUCAAAGGCUCAACCUUUGAAUGCCGACGGAUACUGCCGGGCUAGAGUACGGAAGAGGCGAGUGGAAUUCCUGGUGUAGCGGUGGAAUGCGCAGAUAUCAGGAGGAACACCUAUAGCGAAGGCAGCUCGCUGGGACGUUACUGACGCUGAGGCGCGAAAGCGUGGGGAGUGAACAGG